RNAcentral lists this ribosomal RNA (253 nucleotides) under uncultured bacterium. RNAcentral describes it as "partial 16S ribosomal RNA". It matches the Rfam family "Bacterial small subunit ribosomal RNA", at positions 524 to 776 of the family's 1533-position model. The record is from RNAcentral.
UACGAGGGGUGCAAGCGUUGUUCGGAAUCACUGGGCGUAAAGGGAGCGUAGGCGGAACUCCAAGUCGGUCGUAUAAUACCAGGGCCCAACCCUGGAUCUGCGGCCGAGACUGGUUUUCUUGAGUUAUUUAGAGGCAAGCGGAAUUCCAGGUGUAGCGGUGGAAUGCGUAGAGAUCUGGAAGAACACCAAUGGCGAAGGCAGCUUGCUGGGAAUUAACUGACGCUGAGGCUCGAAAGUGUGGGUAGCAAACAGG